GCCCGCCCCCGCCCGCCGUUGUGUGGGGUGGGCCUGCUGCCCCAGACCCACAGCCUUGCUGCAUUCCCGCCCUCACCAGAGCCCUCACCCGGCGACGUCACCGCCGCCGCUGCCUCCACUCUACCCUCCGGCCCCGCUUCACCGCCUGGGGCCUCGGUUCUGCCACCGCUGCUCCAAGACCGACAGGAUUUUCUCCUCACAGCUCCCUGGGCGCCAUCUUACAUUCAACCCUCACGGCCAAUGGGAGCCGAAUGCCUCUCUCGCGAGAGUCGAAGCGUCGGAUCCCGCGAGAGCUACCGCUCAGACUUAAAGGGAACGCUUCGGACUUAGAGGGAGACUGCUGGAGCUGAGAGCGUACCCCUCGUUGUGGGAAGGAGCACCACGCCCAUUGACACCCCUCCAUGCGGGGCGGAGCUUAGGCCUGGGGUUCAGUAUCUCGGGGGUAUUUUGCCCCUGUCCUAGGUUUACAAGCGUGCUUCUUGAACCCACCUACGGUGUCCCGCUAGCGCCUCCUCUACUUGCACAGUUCCACGCAAGGCGGGGCCGGGCCUAGCUCAGCCUCGUGGUUAAGGUGGCCCCCUCUCAAACC
This 589-nucleotide long non-coding RNA is filed under the name Rattus norvegicus (Norway rat). RNAcentral describes it as "long non-coding RNA NONRATT028990". Lineage: Eukaryota; Metazoa; Chordata; Mammalia; Rodentia; Muridae. The record is from RNAcentral.